CUGAUCCAGCAUGCCGCGUGAGUGAUGAAGGCCUUAGGGUUGUAAAGCUCUUUCGCACGCGACGAUGAUGACGGUAGCGUGAGAAGAAGCCCCGGCUAACUUCGUGCCAGCAGCCGCGGUAAUACGAAGGGGGCUAGCGUUGUUCGGAAUUACUGGGCGUAAAGGGCGCGUAGGCGGCCUGUUUAGUCAGAAGUGAAAGCCCCGGGCUCAACCUGGGAAUAGCUUUUGAUACUGGCAGGCUUGAGUUCCGGAGAGGAUGGUGGAAUUCCCAGUGUAGAGGUGAAAUUCKUAGAUAUUGGGAAGAACACCGGUGGCGAAGGCGGCCAUCUGGACGGACACUGACGCUGAGGCGCGAAAGCGUGGGGAGCAAACAGGAUUAGA
Molecule: ribosomal RNA, 381 nt
Filed under: Azospirillum sp.
Lineage: Bacteria; Pseudomonadati; Pseudomonadota; Alphaproteobacteria; Rhodospirillales; Azospirillaceae
Description: bacterial SSU rRNA
Rfam family: Bacterial small subunit ribosomal RNA
Source: RNAcentral